This 253-nucleotide ribosomal RNA is filed under the name uncultured bacterium. RNAcentral's name for it is "partial 16S ribosomal RNA". It matches the Rfam family "Bacterial small subunit ribosomal RNA", at positions 524 to 776 of the family's 1533-position model. The record is from RNAcentral.
CACAGAGGUCCCGAGCGUUGUUCGGAUUCAUUGGGCGUAAAGGGUGCGUAGGCGGUUUUCUAAGUUUGAUGUGAAAUCCCGGGGCUUAACCCUGGAAUGGCAUUGAAUACUGGGAGACUAGAGUACUGGAGAGGAAACUGGAGUUUACGGUGUAGCAGUGAAAUGCGUAGAGAUCGUAAGGAAGACCAGUGGCGAAGGCGAGUUUCUGGGCAGUUACUGACGCUGAGGCACGAAGGCCAGGGGAGCAAACGAG